ACUGGAACAAGUUGUCCAGAGAUGUUGUGGAUGUCCCAUCCCUGGAGACAUUCAUGGUCGGGCUGGAUCUGUUUAGCAACCUUGGCAGCCUGAUCUAGCUGUGGUGUUCCUGCUCAUUGCAGGGGAGUUGGACUAGAUGACCUUUAAAGGUCCCUUAGAAUCUAAGGAUUCUAUGAUUCUCUGAUCUUCUCUAUUUCCUCUUCAGAAUGAUACUUCAGAAAGUGCCUAGGCCUACAUCUGAGGCUGACCAGGGCCACAUGUUGAUGUAGUGGUGCUGUAUUCUUACACGUCUAUAGGAUGUCAUGCCUGAGGGAAACCACCAGAGUGGGGUGGUAAAGAACAGCUGCUGUGAUGCUAUUGUGUGCAAUAGCUAUAGAGUAAAAGUAUAGUUGGCCCUCUUUCUUUGCAAUACCAAGUAAAAACCAGAAGCAAAAGAGAAAGUAAAGGUUUGGGAAUUUUUGCCAAAUUGUCUCAUUCAGGGAUUUAGAAGUGGAUGAAGCAGGUGGUUCUGAUUCUUGUAAAAGCAAGACAAAUCAGAGUAGGUUUAUUAGAUCAUAUGCACAAGUCAGGCAGUGCUGAGUCUGGAGGAAGGAAAAACAAUCCACCUCAGAGCUCAGGCAUACUUGUAUCUCCUUUCUGGGUGAAGUAUGUGGAAACUGGAGAUCCUGCUUUACAUUGUGCUGAAGCCUGUCUCUUUGGAUCUAUCUGUCUGAAUCCACAGUUGGUCUCUUGCUCAUCAGAUGAGGAAUGAUCCUUUCGGAGGGUGUUGUACAGAGCCUCUAAUGUCUGCGUAGGAGCUACAGGGAAGAGAACAACUGGGAAUGUCCUGAUAUUUCUCUAUUAAAAUAAUAAUAAUAAUAAUCAACUUAAGUAUUGAUUAAUAUUUCCUUUCUCUGAGAAUUCAGCUUUCACUGAAGAGGGAUACCUGGAGAGUGGAAAUGGUCUUCACAAGCCCUACCUUCUGCCUGCAUGUACCAUCCCCUGGUACUGCUGCUGGUGCUGGUUGGGUCUGUAAUGAGGCACUUUGACUCACUGAUCCUGAAUAAGACUGAAUAUAUGAAAACAGAAGUAAUUUUUAGCCAGGUUGGUGAGCUGCAUCAACUUCAGAACACACAAAUGUAUACAACAGACUCCAUUUGGAUAACUGGUUUUGCAAAGAUCUCGUUUUACCCACAGGAUGCUGAGAGGAGUUUGCUAAAGGGAGACACUACCUAAAGAAUAAGGGUACAUUAAUGACUUUAGUAAAGCCUUACACAGUAAUGAAAAACAACAACCCAAAUCACCAACUCAGUUCAGUCCUCAAAAAUAUCUGUAGCUUGUCUAAUUCCUUGGGUUUAAUACAAAAUCAGCAAAUGAUAUCUCAGUGAGCUGUGCAUACCUGCUUUUGUAUCUAAGAGCGCUAAAGGCCACUGGGGAACUAGAGCAGUCAUUGUCUUUCAUUCAGUAGCAAAACCUGUUUACUUUUCUUGGUCUCAGGUCCUUAGGACAGCCCAAAUCCAGCUUUCAGUAAGACAUUGUUUGCUCUGCUGUGCUGUCAAUAAGAUGUCAUUACUUAGGGCUGCAAGGUAAUAAAGGAUUUGUUAAUGGCUCCUCUUGAGGGUGGUGACAUUUUUUCCCCCCCCCUUACUGACCACUGGGGGAACAAAUUGGGAACAGACUGACAAGGAUGACAAGGAAAGAAAUUGGAUUUUAUUUAUUAAUUUCUUUAAUUAUUUUUAGUUAAAGCACAAGGUUUUAACAAGUGCAGGCCUUUUCUUCUUUAUUAUUAAUAUGUAGUAGGGUGUGAAAAGAGUUUUAUAAUAUGCAGUGUGCUUUAGCAUACAUACCUGUUAAAGAGAAUACAGUAGGUAAGUGUUGUGAGCUGCAGAAGGUCCGUCUGUUGCUAAUUCUGAAGCAUGGCAGAGGAGAGGCAGACCAGUGUUUGCCAUUCCUGGAUGUAAACAAGCAGUUACUAAUUAACAGCAGAUAUGGAAAGAAUUUCUUAGCUGUUGCUCUGAAGCAUUUGACAGCACUGAAAUGGGGUCUCUGUGGCUGGGGAAGGAGCUGCCCUUGCCCUGCGGCCUCAGCCUCCUACCACAGCCUCCUGCAGAUCCUCCCUCUGACUUUGUUCCCGUCCCAGCUGCACGGCAGACAUCUGUUGUUGCCACGCGUCCCAGUCUCCUUGCUUUUUUCAGAUGCCAGGUCACAGUUUGCUUUGGCAAACCCGUAAGUAACAGUGCCAUAUUCUCUUCGAAACCAUGCUUAAUAGACAAUAGUGAAGGGCCCGAUUCUGCCAGUUUGUAGCUGCCUGUGUGAUGUCCUGUGUAGUUAAAGUUAUGAACAACCAGAGGGCUUGUCUGAACUUGAAAACUCAUUUGGAUCAAGGUGAAGCAAAAAGUCAAAGCACAAUAGCUCUGCCUGAAUAGGGACAUUCACAAGGCCAAGACCAGGUGCCAAGACUAGCCCUGAAGUCAUACAGAGCACUCUUAAAGGCACAGUGUGGCCCAUUCCAGCUAACCUGAAGAGAAGAUCUAUCACGAGGCAAAUAACUUUAACCCCUGGCUCACCACUUGGUGAGCUUUCAGCUGUAUAAACUGCAAGAAUCUGACAAACUCUAAAAGCCACGGAUCCUUGGUGCUGUAGAUGGACAUUUGGGCUUCCCAUUGAGUGGGAGGGAUCAGUCACCACUUCCCACUCCAGCAGAGAACGGACCAAAAGCAAGGACCCUGCAGGGCCCUGGUCACAGAGGCUUAAGUGUAAUUGUGCUCGUUCAGAGUAGGCAGACUGGUUUAGAGAAUGACUGCAUGAAUGAGCACAGUGCGGCUGUAAGGGGAGACUUCUUACUUGGGUCCAAAUGAGAUCACACAAGAACAGGAAGGGGUGUCUCUGUGGAAGAGGAGGAGUGGAAUGGCUCGGACACUGGCAUAGCAAAGAGGAAGAACUGGAGUGGAAGCAGAAGAGACGUGAUGACAGUCUGGACAGAUGAGACACAGAGAGUGAGAUUUGGAAGUUGGUUUAGUUGCACUGUGCUGGUCGCCUCUGUUUCAGACCAAAUGAAGUGGCUGCCACGCUGGAGGCUGCGCUGUCCUGUACCACCGCUUCCUUCCAAGGCUGCAUAAGGAGCGCAGCAUCUGACCUGCCUGGAGGUGGGAACAUCUCACAUACUUGAUUCAGAUGAAGGAAUAAAUGAAGACUCUGAAACACAACACAGGGCUUAUCUUGACAGGAGUGAAAAGGUAUAAAGGCCUAAACUGUUUAUUUGUAUGAGAACAUAAUGGUCCUUGUCAUCGACUUGGGGUUGAAAGGAAUGACUUCCAUCCAGAGGAUGGAGAAAAAAUGGGAGAUAAAUUACAGCAGCAGUAACAGUUUAAUGGCAAAAGAUUGAAAAAGAGGGAGAAUAUGGAAAUUAGACAGUGAUGAUGUUCUAAGAAUUUAAAUGUGGCUUUGGCAGCAGCAGUAUCAUUUGUACAAAAACAAACAAGGAUAAUCAACAACAAAUGCAUUAUUAUUUUAAAAUAGAUUUUAUUUAAUGACAAUAAAUAUAAAUUGCAACGUUCAGAAACUAAUAGCAAACAUUCUUAGAAAAAAAUACAAAAAAAUACAUUCUUACAUUCUGAAUUUUAUCAGCAUACACAGCAUCUAAAACAGUGGCAAUGGCCUGCCAUUUAUGUUGCUCAUAUCUUACUUUAAGGUAAUGAAAUGGUGACUGACUCAAAUUCAUCCUGACUUCAUCGGACCUGUACACAAUGUAAAAAUAGUAAAACUGAUCUAAAGUUUAAAAUCAACAUUAAUUUUCCCUUCAAGCAGAUCUUUAAACAUUAUUAAGGUGACCUAGUCCUGAAAAAAACACCAGUAUGUUGGCAAUUGCCCCCACCCCACAUUUGCACUUUGUUCCUAUGCCUCCGCAGAGCUCACUGUCGGAGGUUUCAGCAGCUGGAGGUAGAGGCUUAUUUACAUUGCACAGAUUAAGAGGUUUAGGCACUUUGUGCUGUCAAAAGCACUGCGUAUAUGGCAAAAUGAACUGAAUUCCUGAUGCGGUGUUUUUUGACAUUAGGUGUUAUGGCUACAUUAGCAAGUAGCAUGGCACUUGGGAAGCAAAUAACUGAGCAAAAUGUUGAUGCUGAGAAGCUGAUGUCCAUGAGUACUCACUGCUCUCUGCACACUAGCUCUGGUUUUAGAGCUGUGCACUAAAAUGUUUGCCAGAGAAAGGUAUACCAUCAUGUGCAUACCUCGAGUCUAUCGCCUGGUUUGGCUCAAGACAUUAAGAAUCCAGUUCAUGAGCUCUGAGACCAAGCAUGAGCCACCACCCAGAAAGUGGGGGACAGGUGGAAGACCAGUUUCGAGCACACUCCUGAUCUAAACAAAAUGGUAAUAUAGAAACUCACCAGCAUUCCCCAGGUCGUGGCACCAAGUCUGAUAGAGUUCAAGAGGUGUUUGAACCAUACUCUCAGACACAGGGUUUGAAUUCUGGGGGGUCGUGUGGGGGGACAGGUGCUGGAAUUGAUAAGAUCCUUCCAACUCAGGACAUUCCACGAUUCUAGGUGGUUAGGAGUCUAUUGCAGGAGACUAAGCCGUAGAUAAAUACACCUUGCUGUUAUAGCGUGUUUUUAUUUACUUUGUUUUUUCCGGGCCACCUCCCCUUCAAGCAGCGCUUGUUAUAAGGCGCAAAUGGGAGGCACAGGAAGAAAAAAAGGCUCAGAAUACCGGGCACUCCUGAAAGUCUGUUUUAAGCUCUGCUGCUGUUCACAUUGUAUCCCUAGGCAAGGCAUUUAAUUCCUUUGUUUCUUUUUUUCUUGUCAAAGAGGGCAAUCAAAGUUUCCGUAAGACCAAACAAUUACCUGAGAUGGCCCAUUUCGUGAUCGUUAUUUUUUGCCUUCAUCACACGAAACCUCUUUGCAAGCACCAGCCCUCCCAAACGGCACCUAAGAGUGUGUUUAAGGCACUUUGGCACCGUGAUUCCCUACGGGGAGAUGGAAAUGGCACUUCCCAGCUGAACACUGCUGCUAAUUGGAAAACACUAGUUUAUAUAUGAGGAAAUGCCAACUUGAAGCCAAAAUCAGAAGCUCUGAGCUUGCAUGGAGCUGAGUACUUCAUCAAAGCUAUUCCAUGAAAUGGUUUUCUGGACAAAAUUUUGGUACAAAGCAAAGCUUGGUAUACUGCCCAGUGACAGACAGGCAACAAGCACUAACUGAGACACAAGAAAUUCCAUCUGAGCAUAAGAAAAAAUCUUUCUGUAUCUAUGAGGGUGACAGAGCGCUGGCACAGGCUGCCCAGAUCUGUGGGGUGCCCUCCUUGUCAUUAUGGAACAAGGUCAUACCAGUAUUGGAGUGAUAUAUUUCAACAAGAAGUCCUGUCUUGUUUAGAAACUACUGAGUGUUUGUCCAUCCAUCUGCCAAAUUUAUACUUGGUUCCUCAUAAAUGUAAAGACUUGUUAUGAUUUUUGGCAACAAAAAUAAAUGUCAAUGAGUGGAAAGGA
Molecule: non-coding RNA, 5455 nt
Organism: Coturnix japonica (Japanese quail)
Lineage: Eukaryota; Metazoa; Chordata; Aves; Galliformes; Phasianidae
Source: RefSeq, a predicted model, not a curated record